RNAcentral lists this ribosomal RNA (371 nucleotides) under uncultured Lactobacillus sp. RNAcentral describes it as "bacterial SSU rRNA". It matches the Rfam family "Bacterial small subunit ribosomal RNA", at positions 527 to 896 of the family's 1533-position model. Lineage: Bacteria; Bacillati; Bacillota; Bacilli; Lactobacillales; Lactobacillaceae. The record is from RNAcentral.
GUAGGUGGCAAGCGUUGUCCGGAUUUAUUGGGCGUAAAGCGAACGCAGGCGGGAAGAUAAGACAGCUGUGAAAGCCCUCGGCUCAACCGGGGAACGGCAACUGAAACUAUUUUUCUUGAGUGCAGAAAAGGAGAGUGGAACUCCAUGUGUAGCGGUGGAAUGCGUAGAUAUAUGGAAGAACACCAGUGACGAAGGCGGCUCUCUGAUCUGUAACUGGCGCUGAGGUUCGAAAGCAUGGGUAGCGAACAGGAUUAGAUAACCUGGUAGUCCAUGCCGUAAACGAUGAGUGCUAAGUGUUGGGAGGUUAACGCCUCUCAGUGCUGCAGCUAACGCAUUAAGCACUCCGCCUGGGGAGUACGACCGCAAGGUUA